This 467-nucleotide ribosomal RNA is filed under the name uncultured bacterium. Its description in RNAcentral is "partial 16S ribosomal RNA". It matches the Rfam family "Bacterial small subunit ribosomal RNA", at positions 28 to 523 of the family's 1533-position model. The record is from RNAcentral.
GAUGAAUGCUGGCGGCGUGCCUAACACAUGCAAGUCGAGCGGCAGCGCGAGUAGUUUACUACUUGGCGGCGAGCGGCGGACGGCUGAGUAACGCGUGGGAACGUGCCCCAAAGUGAGGAAUAACUGCCCGAAAGGGUGGCUAAUGCCGCAUAUGAUCUUCGGAUUAAAGUCUUCGGACGCUUUGGGAGCGGCCCGCGUCGGAUUAGGUUGUUGGUGAGGUAAUGGCUCACCAAGCCGACGAUCCGUAGCUGGUCUGAGAGGAUGAUCAGCCAGACUGGGACUGAGACACGGCCCAGACUCCUACGGGAGGCAGCAGAGAGGAAUCUUCCACAAUGGGCGAAAGCCUGAUGGAGCAACGCCGCGUGCAGGAUGAAGGCCCUCGGGUCGUAAACUGCUUUUAUAAGUGAAGAAUAUGACGGUAACUUAUGAAUAAGCACCGGCUAACUACGUGCCAGCAGCCGCGGUAA